RNAcentral lists this transfer RNA (71 nucleotides) under Dipodomys ordii (Ord's kangaroo rat). It matches the Rfam family "tRNA". Rfam says of the family: Transfer RNA (tRNA) molecules are approximately 80 nucleotides in length. Their secondary structure includes four short double-helical elements and three loops (D, anti-codon, and T loops). The record is from Rfam by way of RNAcentral. Lineage: Eukaryota; Metazoa; Chordata; Mammalia; Rodentia; Heteromyidae.
GGGGGAGUGGCUUAAGGGGUAGAGUGCCUGUUUGGCAAACAGGAGGUCCUGAGUUCAAUCCCAGUACCACA